AACGAACGUUGGCGGCGUGGAUGAGGCAUGCAAGUCGAACGCGAAAGCCGCAAGGUGAGUAGAGUGGCGGACGGGCGAGUAACACGUAAUCAAGCUACCUGCGAGACGGGGAUAACCUCGGGAAACCGAGGCUAAGACCCGAUGGUUUGCGAGGGCCGCAUGGCCCGUGCAAAUAAAGUGGGCGGGAUCCGUCCGGGACCGCCUGCUCGCAGAGGUGAUUGCCGGCCCAUCAGCAGUUGGUAGGGUAACGGCCUACCAAGCAACGACGGUAGCCGCCUUAGAGGGUGGUCGGCCGCACGUGGGACUGAGACACU
This 314-nucleotide ribosomal RNA is filed under the name uncultured bacterium. RNAcentral describes it as "bacterial SSU rRNA". It matches the Rfam family "Bacterial small subunit ribosomal RNA", at positions 29 to 328 of the family's 1533-position model. The record is from RNAcentral.